UACGUAGGUGGCAAGCGUUAUCCGGAUUUAUUGGGCGUAAAGGGAACGCAGGCGGUCUUUUAAGUCUGGUGUGAAAGCCUUCGGCUUAACCGGAGUUGUGCAUUGGAAACUGGGAGACUUGAGUGCAGAAGAGGAGAGUGGAACUCCAUGUGUAGCGGUGAAAUGCGUAGAUAUAUGGAAGAAAACCAGUGGCGAAAGCGGCUCUCUGGUCUGUAACUGACGCUGAGGUUCGAAAGCGUGGGUAGCAAACAGG
RNAcentral lists this ribosomal RNA (253 nucleotides) under uncultured bacterium. RNAcentral describes it as "partial 16S ribosomal RNA". It matches the Rfam family "Bacterial small subunit ribosomal RNA", at positions 524 to 776 of the family's 1533-position model. The record is from RNAcentral.